Molecule: unclassified non-coding RNA, 165 nt
Filed under: soil metagenome
Description: partial internal transcribed spacer 1
Source: RNAcentral
CCGAGUUGCAAAACUCCCUAAACCCUGUGAACGUACCUAUAACCGUUGCUCGGCGGGCGGCCCGGGAUCAUCCCGGCGCCCCUGGCCAAUCGCGGGCGCCCGCCGGCAGGAUCACCAAGCUCUGAUAAUUUUAUUGUACUUCUGAGUAUCUACUGAAUAAAGUCA